CGUAAUUAACAGAAGUUACGCGCACGAGUCGCAGCUUGUUAUGUCUAUGCCCAGUCCACCGGCGGAUUCUUGUGACCAGAAUUUUCUAUUCUUUAAUUGCAAUGGUUAAACGACCAGGUGUUAUAAAUAGUUUGGGUCCAGAUUGCAAACGCUGAAGAGAAAAUGCAUUGGCGGACAACAUGCAGUUACAGAGGAGCUGACAGAGUACAUUCGGCAGGUGGAACAGAGAUUGGACAUCGUGGCAGAUCCCAGGUGGAGCUUUCCGUUCUCCUCUAGUGAGAGACAGACUUGCCAAGCUGGGAUACGGCAAAGGGCCUUCAGCAUCCAGGGAAAGGGCCUUCAACACCCAGGGAAAGGGCCUUCAACACCCAGGGAAAGGGCCUUCAACACCCAGGGAAAGGGCCUUCAACACCCAGGGAAAGGGCCUUCAACACCCAGGGAAAGGGCCAUCAACAUCCAGGUAAAGGG
Molecule: long non-coding RNA, 468 nt
Organism: Anguilla anguilla (European eel)
Lineage: Eukaryota; Metazoa; Chordata; Actinopteri; Anguilliformes; Anguillidae
Exons: 3
Source: RefSeq, a predicted model, not a curated record